RNAcentral lists this ribosomal RNA (253 nucleotides) under uncultured bacterium. RNAcentral describes it as "partial 16S ribosomal RNA". It matches the Rfam family "Bacterial small subunit ribosomal RNA", at positions 524 to 776 of the family's 1533-position model. The record is from RNAcentral.
GACAGAGGGGGCAAGCGUUGCUCGGAAUUACUGGGCGUAAAGGGCGCGUAGGCGGGAUGGCAAGUCGGUCGUGAAAUCCCUGGGCUCAACUCAGGGGGGUCGGCCGAUACUGCCGUUCUUGAGGGAUGCAGAGGAGACUGGAAUUCCCGGUGUAGCGGUGAAAUGCGCAGAUAUCAGGAGGAACACCGAUGGCGAAGGCAGGUCUCUGGGCCACUACUGACGCUGAGAAGCGAAAGCGUGGGGAGCGAACAGG